This is a non-coding RNA of Schizosaccharomyces pombe (fission yeast), 883 nucleotides long. The record is from the annotation of a GenBank genome assembly. NCBI's taxonomy places the organism in Eukaryota, Fungi, Ascomycota, Schizosaccharomycetes, Schizosaccharomycetales, Schizosaccharomycetaceae.
CUUUACCAUCAAAUGACUGAAGUGUUUGAAUUAUUGCAUCUUUAAUUGACAAUUCCAGCAUUCCGGUAUUGGUUCGGUAGGCAAUUGCAUUAUGAAUCAACAAAACUAAAAAUUUUGGUGAGUAGGUACAUACCUGAAUAGAAAUCUUUACAUACUUGUUUCAUUGUUCCAACUGAGAGCGGAUUUAACUUGGGACUCUCCUAUCAACACGAUCAUGGCUGAUCCAGAAAUAUCGUGUACGUGUAUCGUUUGUUUAGGUAGAGAUUUUUUUGUUUCAUUAUUAAAUAUCUCGAAUUCUUCUUUCCACUGUAUUGCAACUAAUACAUUGACGAACGCCCCAUCUUUAAAGUCAUUCACUAGUGACAGCGGAACAAUAUUGUCGCUACCAAACCCAGGACAUGGUAUUUGCUCUGGUUCAGAAAUUGUAGCUUCAAUCUUGCUUUCCAAAUUUUUGGAAUGAAUCUGUAGUUUCCAAGCUCUUAUCCCAGAAACACGACAGACUACGUCGCUAUAGACGAAAACUGAAAUGCCGAGUUGUAACUGUCUCAGCAUUUCAAAUUUUGGCGAAUACUUGGAUAAACUAUAGUUCAAUUCAACAAUUCCAGUAUCAUCCAUAAGUUUAAACAUAUAACAAACCUCGUUGGAUGAGACACGCUUAUUUUUUAAAUUAACUAUCUUUCCCUUAAAAUAGUAUCUAAAUGUACUUGUCCCUAACUCGUUAAUUUUUUUGAAUUCAUACAAUUUCCAAUUGAUAAACUCAGAUAAGUAAACUUCCAUUUUUAUCUGUAAUUUGUGGUGGUUUGCUUUAUUUCUUUGGAUGCAUGAAAUACGCGGUAAUGAAGUGAGCUAAUUUAAAUACUAAACAUAUAUACUGAGGCAGUUG